UACGUAGGGAGCAAGCGUUAUCCGGAUUUAUUGGGUGUAAAGGGUGCGUAGACGGGAAGGUAAGUUAGUUGUGAAAUCCCCAGGCUCAACUUGGGAACUGCAACUAAAACUGUCUUUCUUGAGUGUUGGAGAGGAAAGUGGAAUUUCUAGUGUAGCGGUGAAAUGCGUAGAUAUUAGGAGGAACACCAGUGGCGAAGGCGACUUUCUGGACAAUAACUGACGUUGAGGCACGAAAGUGUGGGGGGCAAAC
RNAcentral lists this ribosomal RNA (250 nucleotides) under uncultured prokaryote. RNAcentral's name for it is "partial 16S ribosomal RNA". It matches the Rfam family "Bacterial small subunit ribosomal RNA", at positions 524 to 773 of the family's 1533-position model. The record is from RNAcentral.